CAAGAAAGCUUAUCCAUGGAAGAAGCACCUUACCAAUACACAGACAUCAGACCCAUACCUAGACAUCAGACCCAUACCUAUACAGAAUUAUUAUAUAUAUAUAUAUAUAUUUAUAUCUCUCGCUUUGGCUUCAAGAGUACGUGAUCAACCAUCUCAAGCCAAACCAAUUUCUCUCUCCUCAUCACUCUUUGUUCUCUCUUGUUAUACUCAACAACAAAAAGCUUCAUUUCUGUAUCUAUAGAUCAAGUCAAUUUACUCUUCCUUGAGAUGGCGUCAAUCACACCCAUUUCUCAAUCCCAACCCCUUUUUAACAACACCCAAUUCAGGCAUAGGAAGUUCAACAACAUGUUUUUCACAAACCCCAAUUUCAGAGCUUUCACUGGCCAAUCUUCUUCUUCUUCUUCUGCGAAUAAGAAUAAGAAGAUGGUGGUGAUGGUGUCGGCGACGACGGCGGCGGAGAAGCCGAAGAAGAGGUAUCCUGGGGAGGCGAAGGGGUUUGUGGAGGAAAUGAGGUUUGUUGCCAUGAAAUUGCACACCAGGGACCAGGCCAAGGAGGGGGAGAAGGACUCUGAGGGCCCUCCUGUUGCCAAAUGGGAGCCCUCGGUUGAUGGUUACUUGAGAUUUCUUGUGGACAGUAAGUUGGUGUAUGAUACACUUGAGAAGAUUGUCCAAAAUGCUUCAUUUCCUGAAUAUGCUGAGUUCAGGAACACAGGAUUGGAAAGGUCAGACAGUCUGGCAAAAGAUUUGGAAUGGUUUAAAGAGCAAGGUCAUACAAUUCCUGAACCUUCAACUCCUGGUGUUAGCUACGCUAAUUAUCUCGAGGAAUUAUCAAAGAAGGAUCCUCAAGCUUUUAUUUGCCACUUCUAUAAUAUAUAUUUCGCACACACUGCUGGUGGUCGAAUGAUUGGGAGAAAGGUAGCUGAAAAGAUAUUAAACAAGGAGGAGCUGGAAUUCUAUAAAUGGAAUGGUGACCUUUCCCAACUGUUGCAGAAUGUGAGGGAGAAGCUGAAUCGAGUUGCUGAGAACUGGACUAGGGAGGAGAAGAACCACUGUUUGGAAGAAACAGAGAAGUCAUUCAAGUUAUCGGGAGAUAUCCUCCGUUUAAUACUGUCAUGAUUCGCUAAUAGCGCUGUUGUUGUUGUGUACUGCUGUUUCAAUUAUUUUUCCGGCCAUGGCAUUGAAGCCAAUUUGGUAAUGAUAUUGAACUUAUGGUAUACACAGCUUGCAAAAUUUGUUUGUGUUUGGCCAGUUUGGGUGAUGGGGAAGUAGGAUAAAAGAAAUUUGUUUUGGUGGGUUUUUCUGUUGGAGAAUGAAAAUCGUUUAAGGCUCUGUUUGGUGAACAGUAUCUGGAAAGUGGCUUUGGAUAGGAAGUUGUCAACUGUUCCAGUUAACUAUAGCAGCAAAAGGCAAUGUAGCUAAUUUGACUAAGGGAGAAAAGCUGGAUCACGAUAACUAUGAUAUUUGGCGUCGUAAGAUCCACUAUCUCCUAAAUGAGCAAGAGGUCUUGGAGACUUUUGAGCAAGUGAUGACUGAGCUUGAGCAAGGCACUACAGCUCAGCAUCGUUGGGAUCUUGAGGCUUAUAAAAAAUGGUGCAACAAAGAUCGAUGUGCACGCUUUACAAUGUUAAGCAGCAUGCAUAACGACUUGAUAGCAGAGUUUGAAGGUCCUUGAUUGCUUUUGAAAUGUGGGAGGCUUUCAAACAAAAAUUUGGCAUCACCUCUUUAGCUAAGUUGCGUGGGUUGACCAUGAAAUUUGAUUCCUAUCAGAAAAAGGCGCAUCAUUCAAUAAAGCAGCAUCUGAGGGUAAUGUCAACUAUGAUAUACGAGCUGGCGGCAGCAGGUCAUAAUCUGACACAAAAGCAACAAGUUUAGGCAGUGAUUCACUUACUUUCUCAUUUUUGGAAAGAAAUAAAGCGUCAAAUGACGCACAAUUGUAGACACCUCAUUUUGAUUUCCUUUAAGACUUGGGCGUUUCAUUCCGAACACUCGAAGAUGAAAUGUUAUAUUGUGCAAUCUUUCGAUUCUUCAGUAAUAGAAUUCAGUUUUAAGUUUCGAACCCAAACCAUACACCCCAUUUGGACCAAAACCUAUUUUUCUAGCCUAACUACUCAAAGAGCAGCAAGGCCAAAAGUUGACCGGCAGGCCACAUUUUUGGGCCGGCCGUACAUCCUCUUGGUCAACUGGCCAUGUUUAACACAGAAGAUAUUUCUGCAGCAGCAGGCUACUCCCAUGCACGGGAUUUGGGCCAGCUGUCUUUUUUGAAGAUAUUUCUAUUGAAAAGCGGUUGAAAAUCUAUAAAUAGGCCAUCUCCCUUCAGAAUUUAGGGUUAGAGAAUUGUUUUACAAGCUUAGAAAAUUGAUUCAAAGCAACUCUCCACCUUUUUGCAUAUAGAUACACUAUAGAUACACCAUUGAAGCUCACACUUGAAGCUUUUUGUUGAAGUUUUAAACCUUAUUUCAGAUACUUGAGGGUGUUUGGAUUGAAGUUUGUGAAUCAAAAAGCUCUUCCUCUUUCCAAGAGGUUAACCUUUGAACUCCUUUCAUCACCUUUUCUUUUACUAUUUGCUCUUUAUUUCUUGUCAUAAUAUUAUGAUUUUUAGAGCUAUUGUAGGCUUAAAAAUGUGAUUUAAACUUUGUUGAAGAUGGAGGUGGAAGGGUUAGCCACCCUUCCAUAGGCUUAUCCAUAGUUGUGUUCUCUUUGUUUUCUCCAUGCUUUUGCUCAUUUUUCUUCACUUUUAAAUUGAUUUCAGCACAGUCUUAGUUAGUCA
Camellia sinensis is the source of this 2767-nucleotide RNA transcript. It is a transcript of the gene named Plant heme oxygenase (decyclizing) family protein, with no coding region annotated. Lineage: Eukaryota; Viridiplantae; Streptophyta; Magnoliopsida; Ericales; Theaceae. The record is from RefSeq and is a predicted model, not a curated record.